GAUGAACGCUGGCGGCGUGCCUAAUACAUGCAAGUCGAGCGAACAGAUGAGGAGCUUGCUCCUCUGACGUUAGCGGCGGACGGGUGAGUAACACGUGGAUAACCUACCUAUAGGACUGGGAUAACUUCGGGAAACCGGAGCUAAUACCGGAUAAUAUAUUGAACCGCAUGGUUCAAUAGUGAAAGACGGUUUUGCUGUCACUUAUAGAUGGAUCCGCGCCGCAUUAGCUAGUUGGUAAGGUAACGGCUUACCAAGGCAACGAUGCGUAGCCGACCUGAGAGGGUGAUCGGCCACACUGGAACUGAGACACGGUCCAGACUCCUACGGGAGGCAGCAGUAGGGAAUCUUCCGCAAUGGGCGAAAGCUUGACGGAGCAACGCCGCGUGAGUGAUGAAGGUCUUCGGAUCGUAAAACUCUGUUAUUGGGGAAGAACAAAUGUGUAAGUAACUAUGCACGUCUUGACGGUACCUAAUCAGAAAGCCACGGCUAACUACGUG
Molecule: ribosomal RNA, 497 nt
Filed under: uncultured bacterium
Lineage: Bacteria
Description: partial 16S ribosomal RNA
Rfam family: Bacterial small subunit ribosomal RNA
Source: RNAcentral